Molecule: RNA transcript, 1446 nt
Organism: Nelumbo nucifera (sacred lotus)
Lineage: Eukaryota; Viridiplantae; Streptophyta; Magnoliopsida; Proteales; Nelumbonaceae
Source: RefSeq, a predicted model, not a curated record
AGUUCACAUCUCCGCGCGACAAGGAGCCGCCCCACAAACGCCACGGAGAUGUUCACAAUAUACGGCGGGAUGUGCUGUGGGGUGGCUCAUUGUGGGACGGAGAUGUGAUCUCGCGGCGGAUCUGCACUCAUCUCCGGGUAAGGGUAAACGAAGGAACCCACUAUUCACCCUCGACCAAAUAGAGCGGCGGCUGGGAAGAGAAUCGGCGGAUCUAAACCCAUCUCCGCUCUCUCUCUCCCGCUCUCUCUCCCAGAUCCUCUUCUUCUCUCUUCUCCUUCUUCUUCCCCUCUUCCCCCGUUGUCUCUCUCGUUCCGUUUCGUCACCGCCGCCGGUAGAUCUGCCCGUCCCCUCUCGAAUCUCUCUCAGUAUUCUCUCUCUUUCUUCUUUUUCUUCUUCGUUUUUCGUCUCCACUACUCUGUCACCAUCGAACCGGAAAUGACGAGAGCGGCGGCGGCGUACCAGACUACCAGUGGUAGUCUCCUCCAUUCCUGCCCAUUCUCUCCUUUUUCCCUCACGUUCUCUCUCUCUUUUUUUUUUCAUCCUGACCGUCCCCUAUUUUCUACCAAACUGUAACCGAACAACCUCCUGCUCGUCUUCUCCUCUCUUGACGCAAUGGUGGGCGGUGGUUAUUAGCGGCGACGGCGGUUCUUCCCUUCCCUAUUUCCCAUCGCCAAUCGAGCAGAAGAUGACAGAUGAUGAAUAACAAACUCCCCGUUUGAUGUCUUAGUCCGGUUAGCCGUCGAGCAACACCGUCAUCUUUCAAGGAAAGUUUCACCUAGUGUCGGCUAUCCCCUGUUGAUAGAAUCGGUUCUUUACGUCUCCCCACUGAACUUUGCCAAACAUCAUCGGAAUUAUCGCCUCCAAUCACUAUUGUCGUCUCAAGGUCCAACGAUUGUUUCUUCUUGUCAUCCUUCCCAUUUGCUACAAUCGAUCUCAGUCUAAGGCCAAAAUCCAAUCAGUGGGAUCCUGCUGUUAACAUGGAUAGAUUGUUUGACUCCUCUAUAGUAGAUGCUUGAAGGAGGUGGAUGUUAAUUGGAGCUUUAGGAAUGAAAUAAUGUGCUUCAAAUUGUACUCAAAGGAUAUGCAGAUUGAAAUUAAAUGGGUUCAAAUAUCAGUUAAUGGCUUGGCUUAUUGCCUGGCUAACUAGGGAUUUAAUACACAACUACUUUUUUUUUGAAUUUAGUGUAAUGUAAAAUGUAUUGGUAGGUGGGAUAGUUGAGGGUGUCAGUAUAUCUCAUUGUUUGUAGUCACAACCUCUUGUAGUACCUUGUUUGUAGUCACAACCUCUUGUAUAUCUCCUUGUUUACUGUUUUUGGAAUUUCUCAAAGGUUUAUAUGUAGCUGUUGUAGUUUAAUGUCUGGAAGCCAAGGAGCCAUCUGCACUUGGUUUAGACACCUAUUAGAGGCGAUAUUAUUUCUGCUUGGCUGACGCUGCAGCUACAAUCAA